RNAcentral lists this unclassified non-coding RNA (422 nucleotides) under Hevea brasiliensis (rubber tree). The record is from RNAcentral. Lineage: Eukaryota; Viridiplantae; Streptophyta; Magnoliopsida; Malpighiales; Euphorbiaceae.
AUUUUUGGAAUGGGCAGAGAUCCAGCUCCUUGACUAUUGGAGAGCGAAUUUGCGCUGCGCUUUUGCCAUUUGCGGCUUUAAUCGAGGUUUUGAUUUUCGCUGUGUCUAAUUGCUUCGAGUUACGGCCACGGAUUAAGAGAAUCCGUUACCGCUUCACUGAUCUAGUUGGCCUUGCCCGUGAAUCUCGGUUUACCGUCAACGAAGUGGAGGCGUUGUAUGAGCUCUAUAAGAAGUUGAGUAGUUCCAUAAUCGACGAUGGAUUGAUUCAUAAGGAAGAACUUCAGUUAGCAAUCUUCCAAACGCCUCAUGGCGAGAAUCUCUUCCUAGACCGGGUUUUUGAUCUUUUUGAUGAAAAGCGAAAUGGCGUAAUUGAGUUUGAGGAAUUUGUCCAUGCACUUAGUGUUUUCCAUCCCUGUGCCCCC